RNAcentral lists this ribosomal RNA (459 nucleotides) under uncultured bacterium. RNAcentral describes it as "partial 16S ribosomal RNA". It matches the Rfam family "Bacterial small subunit ribosomal RNA", at positions 338 to 795 of the family's 1533-position model. The record is from RNAcentral.
CCUACGGGAGGCAGCAGUGAGGAAUAUUGGUCAAUGGCCGGAAGGCUGAACCAGCCAAGCCGCGUGAAGGACGAAGGUGCCAAGCAUUGUAAACUUCUUUUGUCAAGGGACAAAAUCAGGCACGAGAGCCUGACCGAGGGUACUUGAAGAAAAAGCAUCGGCUAACUCCGUGCCGGCAGCCGCGGUAAUACGGAGGAUGCGAGCGUUAUCCGGAUUUAUUGGGUUUAAAGGGUGCGUAGGCGGGCUGUUAAGUCAGCGGUAAAAGCCCGGGGCUCAACCCCGGCGAGCCGUUGAAACUGGCGGUCUUGAGAUGUCGAGAGGUAUGCGGAAUGCGCGGUGUAGCGGUGAAAUGCUUAGAUAUUGCGCAGAACUCCGAUUGCGAAGGCAGCAUACCGGCGGCGAACUGACGCUGAGGCACGAAAGCGUGGGUAUCGAACAGGAUUAGAUACCCGGGUAGUC